Long non-coding RNA from Planococcus citri (citrus mealybug), 1574 nucleotides. RefSeq lists it as uncharacterized. The record is from RefSeq and is a predicted model, not a curated record. Lineage: Eukaryota; Metazoa; Arthropoda; Insecta; Hemiptera; Pseudococcidae. The transcript is spliced from 4 exons.
CUACCACCACCACCACCACCACCCCGCUGAGAAAGUAAGGUGGAGCGGCCAAUCCACCUCACUGUUAAUGAGAACAAAAAUAUGAAGAAACUUACUUUGUCAGUAGUGCCAAGCUUCCAGUCAUCUUCAUUUACGAGAUUUGAACAAAUUACAACAGAACUUUGGUUAACGAAGAGCAUGAUAGAGCGAAUUAAUGGUAACUUGACACUAUUCGAUGUUAGGACCUAAUAAAAAUCACUUCAUUUACGUCACUUAUUAUUUUUUUUUACAACAUCUCUCUUCAAAGUCUUCCUACGUAUUAAACGAAAAAUGCUAUCAAUCGCACAGCAGGUAGCAAUAUUUUCCACGCAUGUAAUUGGUCCAUCGUAUGUUAUCGAAAAUAUAAAAACAUGCCAUUUUCAUUAACAGAUAGGUAAGUAAAAUACAAGUACCUAGGUACACUAAGGUUUGAACAUUUACCGAGAAGGAAAUGGUUAAACAUGAAAUCGACACCAAGUAUAGGCCUAUACGGAAUUAGUUGAACACGAAGACAGAGUCGUUAUUAUGUUUAGGAUAUGCUACAAAUGUGUCACUUGACUGUAUGUGCUACGAGUGGGUAUAGGUGUUCUAAGAAAAAAAAAAACAUUCAUAUUUGUGACAAUGAAGAAGUAACGGGAAAUGAAGGGUAGUUUUUUAUACUGAAGUAAAAUGGUAAAAAAAAACUGUUGGGAGAAAAAAUAUUUGCCUAUUGGUUAGUAUGGUUCCUACUCCUAGAGGACAUGACGAAAGAAACGAUGACUAAAUUCCAUGCGAGAAGGACUUUUUUAUAUUUUAAAACCACGUGAAGAUACAUGAAACUGAUAUCAGUAUUGUUAGAUUAGAAAGUCGUUUUUGAACGUGUUGUUUUUUUUGAUUGUUUCUUAUUUCAUCUGUAUUUUACAAAGAACUAUAACUCAGUGUUUUGCAUACUAAAAAUGUCUCGAAGUCUGAUUUUACUCUUGAUCUUGGUGUCGAUUUCAUGUUUAACCAUUUCCUUCGGUUCUGGCCUCAAAUAUUAUCAAGUUACCAACAAUACGCUCCAUCAGCUCUUCGUUAAUCAAAGUUGUGCUGUAAUUUGUUCAGAUAAUGAGGUUGAGUGGAAGCUUGGCACUACUGAUAAAGCUACAAAUUCAAUAGAUGACGAGAAUCCAUAUCAGAAGAUUUUCAAAAUAUCGAAAGCCACAAUUUAUGAUACUGGUGUAAUGUAGAUCCAAAAUGGAACCCAGCAUGUUCAUAAGAUUUAUAAUUUCCGUUAUUGAUGGCGACAUGCCGGGCUGGGUAACUCCUGACAAUUGGCGGGAAACGCUAGUUCGAGAAAUACCGUUGAACAGAUUAAGUGUGUGAAUAUUUAGAUGGACCUCGUUGUGAUUCCUCAAGCACAUGGUCAUGAUAAUAACAAUACUUUCUUAUUGGUAUAUUAUGUUCAAGAACAGGAUCACCGAAAGUAUAGAACUUGACUGACGAAAAUUUUUGCGACAAAAUCUGUUUUUUUUUUCAAAUUUUUUUUUGCAUUAUACCUACUUAUUUAUGUUAGAAUUGUAAAAUACAUAUUAUUA